This is an RNA transcript of Prosopis cineraria, 1818 nucleotides long. It is a transcript of the gene named calcineurin B-like protein 10, with no coding region annotated. The transcript has 10 exons. The record is from RefSeq and is a predicted model, not a curated record. Lineage: Eukaryota; Viridiplantae; Streptophyta; Magnoliopsida; Fabales; Fabaceae.
UAAUGAAUAUAAGUCCUUAAAGGUCGGUGGCCCCAAAAAACUAAAUUUUGUAAUUAUCACUAUCAUUCGCAGCCUCAUGUGGCACGUAGCAAUUUUCAAUCAUUGAUUCAUUUUAUGUUUUUUUCCUCUAUUGAACAACAUAAGAGGUUCCAAAAUUUCGCGGUGAUUCAGCUCUGAAUGCCUUUCUCGUGGGAAAAUCUCCGAUGCUUCUCUGACAUGAAUUUUAGCAGGAGUUCACUGGAUCCAAGGUCGAGCUUGACAAUUGGGGAGAAACUCUGUUUCGUGUUCAUACCAUUCGUAGGAUUAUUUGAGGCUUUGGUUUAUAGCUUGUCCGGUUGCUUCAAUGUCCAGCCUCCCAAGAAAAAGAUCUAUUCCGCGUUCGACGAUUUAGUCCUUCUCGCUAGAAAUUCUCCAUUUUCUGUUAAUGAAAUUGAGGCUUUGCGUGAAUUAUACAAGAAGUUGAGCAGUUCAAUCAUUGAUGAUGGCCUCAUACACAAGGAAGAGCUUAGAUUGGCACUAUUGAGAACAUCAUCUGUUGAGAACCUGUUCCUUGAUAGGGUAUUUGAUCUCUUUGAUGAGAAAAGGAAUGGUGUUAUAGAAUUUGAUGAAUUCAUCCAUGCUCUUAGUGUCUUUCAUCCUGCUGCUCCCUUGGAAAAGAAAAUUGAUUUUGCUUUUAAAUUGUAUGACUUGAGACAAACAGGAUAUAUUGAGCGGGAAGAAGUUAGGCAAAUGAUGAUUGCCAUCAUGUCAGAAUGUGGGAUGCAACUGGAAGACAAAGUUCUUGAAGCUAUUCUUGAUAAGACUUUUCUAGAUGCUGAUGCUGACAAGGAUGGUAAGAUUAAUAAAGAAGAAUGGAAGGAAUUUGUCCUUCGGAACCCAACACUAUUGAAUUACAUGACUCUUCCUAGUCUCAAGGAGAUCACCACAGUGUUUACUAGCUUCAUUUUCAACACCGAAGUUGAAGAUAUACUCUGGCAACUUCCAGGCAACCAUAAACUUUAAGAGUGGAGGCUUUUUCUUUCCACCGGGUUUGUUAAUGUUUGUAUGAUUCUACAACUCCAAUGUCGAUCGCAACUGGUGAAAUUUAAAGGGAAUGUUGUGUGACCAAAUGCCUAUCUCGGAAGUCACUCCAGCAGGAAACCUCUUUGGCGGCAAAUGCCCUGCUCAAGGUAACCCAAAGCUAUUUGAUGUUAUUUUUGCCUACGCCGCCAUGUGAUAAACACAUUGGCUCAGCCAAAAUGUUCGUGAGCAUGCGAUGAUUGCAAAGUCCAUGGGUUUUUAUUUCCAUCCAUGGUCUUGUAUUUUUCUUAUUCAGUUUAUUUUAUGCAAUUGUAUAAUAUUUUAGCAUUAUUGUUUCAGAUUCAAACAUUAUUGAGUUCAACUGAGAAUAGUUUUCCUGUUGUAACUCUUUUCAUUCGAGUAACUUUGGGAGCCAUUUUAUGCUCUCCUUGAUGCCUGCUUGCUUUCAGUCAAUUGCCUUCACGAUUUCAUUUUUGGCUACAUUUUAAAAUUGCUACCAUGUCAGGGGAAGCAUCAUCUACAUGGAAAUUAGAGAUAUUUUAGGAGCUCGGGAGGAUUUUCAUUUACGUUUCCAAGGGAAGCCAACAGUGCUGCAGACAUGUUAGCUAAACAUGGUUUUUCUGUUUUUAGAAUUUUUGAUACUGCCCCUAUUUUCUUACGGGCUAUGAUUCAGCAUAAUGUUAUGGGAAUAAAUUCCCAACCUCCUUGAAUUUUAACCUCGGGCUAGCUCCCUCCUUUGUUAUCAUACAUACAUACAUACAUACAUAUAUAUAUAACACAUGCCACCAUCUCAUUCAA